Molecule: transfer RNA, 72 nt
Filed under: Testudo horsfieldii (Horsfield's tortoise)
Lineage: Eukaryota; Metazoa; Chordata; Testudines; Testudinidae
Description: tRNA-Lys
Rfam family: tRNA
About the family: Transfer RNA (tRNA) molecules are approximately 80 nucleotides in length. Their secondary structure includes four short double-helical elements and three loops (D, anti-codon, and T loops).
Source: RNAcentral
CGCUAAGAAGCUAAAUUGGAUAGCACUAGCCUUUUAAGCUAGAAAAAGAGAACUCCCCACCCUCCUUAGCGA